Molecule: ribosomal RNA, 460 nt
Filed under: uncultured bacterium
Lineage: Bacteria
Description: partial 16S ribosomal RNA
Rfam family: Bacterial small subunit ribosomal RNA
Source: RNAcentral
CCUACGGGAGGCAGCAGUGAGGAAUAUUGGUCAAUGGACGCAAGUCUGAACCAGCCAAGCCGCGUGCAGGAAGACGGCUCUAUGAGUUGUAAACUGCUUUUGUACGAGGGUAAACGCAGAUACGCGUAUCUGUCUGAAAGUAUUGUACGAAUAAGGAUCGGCUAACUCCGUGCCAGCAGCCGCGGUAAUACGGAGGAUUCAAGCGUUAUCCGGAUUUAUUGGGUUUAAAGGGUGCGUAGGCGGUCGGAUAAGUUAGAGGUGAAAUCCCGAGGCUCAACUUCGGAAUUGCCUCUGAUACUGUUCGGCUAGAGAGUAGUUGCGGUAGGCGGAAUGUAUGGUGUAGCGGUGAAAUGCUUAGAGAUCAUACAGAACACCGAGUGCGAAGGCAGCUUACCAAGCUACUUCUGACGUUGAGGCACGAAAGCGUGGGGAGCGAACAGGAUUAGAUACCCCGGUAGUC